This 253-nucleotide ribosomal RNA is filed under the name uncultured bacterium. Its description in RNAcentral is "partial 16S ribosomal RNA". It matches the Rfam family "Bacterial small subunit ribosomal RNA", at positions 524 to 776 of the family's 1533-position model. The record is from RNAcentral.
UACGUAUGGUGCAAGCGUUAUCCGGAUUUAUUGGGCGUAAAGAGAACGCAGGCGGUCUUUUAAGUCUGAUGUGAAAGCCUUCGGCUUAACCGGAGUAGUGCAUUGGAAACUGGGAGACUUGAGUGCAGAAGAGGAGAGUGGAACUCCAUGUGUAGCGGUGAAAUGCGUAGAUAUAUGGAAGAACACCAGUGGCGAAAGCGGCUCUCUGGUCUGUAACUGACGCUGAGGUUCGAAAGCGUGGGUAGCAAACAGG